RNAcentral lists this ribosomal RNA (192 nucleotides) under uncultured bacterium. RNAcentral describes it as "partial 16S ribosomal RNA". It matches the Rfam family "Bacterial small subunit ribosomal RNA", at positions 1309 to 1500 of the family's 1533-position model. The record is from RNAcentral.
AACUCGCCUACAUGAAGUCGGAAUCGCUAGUAAUCGCGGAUCAGCAUGCCGCGGUGAAUACGUUCCCGGGCCUUGUACACACCGCCCGUCACACCAUGAGAGUUUGUAACACCCAAAGCCGGUGGGGUAACCUUUUGGAGCCAGCCGUCUAAGGUGGGACAGAUGAUUGGGGUGAAGUCGUAACAAGGUACC